Molecule: small nuclear RNA, 104 nt
Organism: Echinops telfairi (small Madagascar hedgehog)
Lineage: Eukaryota; Metazoa; Chordata; Mammalia; Afrosoricida; Tenrecidae
Source: Ensembl
GUGUCUUGCUUCAGCGGUACAUGCACUUAAAUUGAAAUGAAACAGGGAAGAUUAACCUGGCUCUUGUGCAAGUACGACAUGCAAAUUCUUAGUUCCAUAUUUUU